AUUGAACGCUGGCGGCAGGCUUAACACAUGCAAGUCGAACGAUGAAGAUAUAGCUUGCUAUAUCGGAUUAGUGGCGGACGGGUGAGUAACACUUAGGAAUCUACCUUUUAGCGGGGGAUAGCUCGGGGAAACUCGAAUUAAUACCGCAUAAUUUCUACGGAAUAAAGAGGGCUUUUAGCUCUCACUAGAAGAUGAGCCUAAGUAAGAUUAGCUAGUUGGUGGGGUAAAAGCCUACCAAGGCGACGAUCUUUAGCUGGUCUGAGAGGAUGAUCAGCCACACUGGGACUGAGACACGGCCCAGACUCCUACGGGAGGCAGCAGUGGGGAAUAUUGGACAAUGGGGGCAACCCUGAUCCAGCCAUGCCGCGUGUGUGAAGAAGGCCUUUUGGUUGUAAAGCACUUUAAGCAGUGAAGAAGACCUAUUGGCUAAUACCCAAUAGCGAUGACAUUAACUGCAGAAUAAGCACCGGCUAACUCUGUGCCAGCAGCCGCGGUAAUACAGAGGGUGCAAGCGUUAAUCGGAAUUACUGGGCGUAAAGCGAGCGUAGGUGGUUAAAUAAGUCAGAUGUGAAAGCCCUGGGCUCAACCUAGGAACGGCAUCUGAAACUAUUUAACUAGAGUAGGUGAGAGGGAAGUAGAAUUUCAGGUGUAGCGGUGAAAUGCGUAGAGAUCUGAAGGAAUACCGAUGGCGAAGGCAGCUUCCUGGCAUCAUACUGACACUGAGGCUCGAAAGCGUGGGUAGCAAACAGG
RNAcentral lists this ribosomal RNA (750 nucleotides) under uncultured bacterium. Its description in RNAcentral is "bacterial SSU rRNA". It matches the Rfam family "Bacterial small subunit ribosomal RNA", at positions 28 to 776 of the family's 1533-position model. The record is from RNAcentral.